RNAcentral lists this ribosomal RNA (497 nucleotides) under uncultured bacterium. RNAcentral describes it as "partial 16S ribosomal RNA". It matches the Rfam family "Bacterial small subunit ribosomal RNA", at positions 28 to 507 of the family's 1533-position model. The record is from RNAcentral.
GAUGAACGCUGGCGGCGUGCCUAAUACAUGCCAGUCGAGCGAACGGACGAGAAGCUUGCUUCUCUGAUGUUAGCGGCGGACGGGUGAGUAACACGUGGAUAACCUACCUAUAAUACUGGGAUAACUUCGGGAAACCGGAGCUAAUACCGGAUAAUAUUUUGAACCGCAUGGUUCAAAAGUGAAAGACGGUCUUGCUGUCACUUAUAGAUGGAUCCGCGCUGCAUUAGCUAGUUGGUAAGGUAACGGCUUACCAAGGCAACGAUGCAUAGCCGACCUGAGAGGGUGAUCGCCCGCACUGGAACUGAGACACGGUCCAGACUCCUACGAGAGGCAGCAGUAGGGAAUCGGCCGCAAUGGGCGAAAGCCUGACGGAGCAACGCCGCGUGAGUGAUGAAGGUCUUCGGAUCGUAAAACUCUGUUAUUAGGGAAGAACAUAUGUGUAAGUAACUGUGCACAUCUUGACGGUACCUAAUCAGAAAGCCACGGCUAACUACGUG